RNAcentral lists this ribosomal RNA (464 nucleotides) under uncultured bacterium. Its description in RNAcentral is "partial 16S ribosomal RNA". It matches the Rfam family "Bacterial small subunit ribosomal RNA", at positions 339 to 795 of the family's 1533-position model. The record is from RNAcentral.
CUACGGGCGGCACCAGUGGGGAAUAUUGCACAAUGGGCGCAAGCCUGAUGCAGCCAUGCCGCGUGUAUGAAGAAGGCCUUCGGGUUGUAAAGUACUUUCAGCGGGGAGGAAGGGAGUAAAGUUAAUACCUUUGCUCAUUGACGUUACCCGCAGAAGAAGCACCGGCUAACUCCGUGCCAGCAGCCGCGGUAAUACGGAGGGUGCAAGCGUUAAUCGGAAUUACUGGGCGUAAAGCGCACGCAGGCGGUUUGUUAAGUCAGAUGUGAAAUCCCCGGGCUCAACCUGGGAACUGCAUCUGAUACUGGCAAGCUUGAGUCUCGUAGAGGGGGGUAGAAUUCCAGGUGUAGCGGUGAAAUGCGUAGAGAUCUGGAGGAAUACCGGUGGCGAAGGCGGCCCCCUGGACGAAGACUGACGCUCAGGUGCGAAAGCGUGGGGAGCAAACAGGAUUAGAUACCCCCGUAGUC